CUGAAUGUUAACUUUCUUGUUAUCAGUCAGUAAUAUUUUUCUUUUUUUGUUUUUGAAUUUAUUUAUAGAUCUAACAGUUUCAAUGCAGAUAGAAACACAGAUAAAUUUAACUACACCUUGUGGAAAGGACAGCUUUUAAAUAAAGGAAAGCUUUUGUGUUAUAUUUCUCUGAGGUCAGCCACUCGUGCUUUUUUGCCUAUCAAGCUUCCUGAAAAGUUAGAUGUUGAAACAGUUAUGAGUAUUGAUCAUCUGAAACAGAAAAUCCCUCCAGCGCUGUUUUAUAAGGAAACAUACUUAGGUCCAAGUGAAGUUUUGAAGAAUGGAAUGUAUUGCAGCCUUUAUGAAGUUGUAGAAAAAACAAGAAUUGGAAGUAACAUGGAGAGUUUACUACAAAAACUAGAGAAAGAAAA
Non-coding RNA from Leptonychotes weddellii (Weddell seal), 410 nucleotides. The record is from RefSeq and is a predicted model, not a curated record. NCBI's taxonomy places the organism in Eukaryota, Metazoa, Chordata, Mammalia, Carnivora, Phocidae.